UUUAUGGAGAGUUUGAUCCUGGCUCAGAGUGAACGCUGGCGGCGUGCCUAAUACAUGCAAGUCGAACGAUGAAGCUUUUAGCUUGCUAGAAGUGGAUUAGUGGCGCACGGGUGAGUAACGCAUAGAUAACAUGCCCUUUAGUCUGGGAUAGCCAUUGGAAACGAUGAUUAAUACUAGAUACACCCUAUGGGGGAAAGUGGCUCUUAAAUAAGAAUUUGAGUGUGUUUUGUGGUUUCUUUAAAUGUUUAGAUUCUAAAGAUUAAAAACAUAGAAUCUAGGAUUCUAUAAACUUUAAAAGAUUUGGCGGGUUAGUGAUAAAUGGAUAAAGCUUAAGAGUUUUAUCCUAUCGCCCACCCACCGCCCUUUUUGGUGGAGUUUGUAGAAUCUUGUUUUAGAUUCUAAAGGCGAGUCUGUAACAUAGAAUCUGAAAUAUAAAAUCUGUCAAAUUAGAUUCUAAAGAUUAAGAACGAAUCUUUUGAGAAUUAAGAUUCUAAUGGUUUAUGAAAUCUUAAAAAGUAGAUUCUAAAAACAAACGAUAGAAUCUAGAUUUUAUAAAACUUUAAAAGGAUUGUGGUUUUGUAGUGGAUGAUAAAAAAAUCAAAACUUUUUCUUAUCGCCCACCCACCGCCCUUUUAAAUGAAUGUUUAUAGAAUCUUGUUUUUAGAUUCUAAAGAUUUUUUGGAUUUAAAAAGAUUCUAAAGAUUUAGAUUCUAUCUAGAUUCUUAAAAAGUGUGGAUUGCUUCGCUUCGCUCGCAAUGACUAUAGAAUCUAGAUUCUAAGAUUUGAAAUAACUUAAUUAAAAAAGAUUCUAAAGGCAAGUCCAAAUAUAGAAUCUAAAAGAUAAAAUUUUAUAGAAUCUUUAGAUUUAAUCAUUUAAUCAAAGGGUUAGAAAAUUAGAUUUUAUUAAAUUAUAGAAUCUAAAAAGUUAGAUUUUAAAGAAAACAAAUUAUAGAAUCUAGAUUCUAUAAACUUUAAAGGAUUUGGUUAGCUGGUAAAAAGAUAGAAUCUAAUCCUAAUCGCCCACCCACCACCCUUUUUAAUGGAAAACAAAACACAAUAAAUUUUUAUUUAAGAGCUUACGCUAAAGGAUUGGUCUAUGUCCUAUCAGCUUGUUGGUGAGGUAAUGGCUUACCAAGGCUAUGACGGGUAUCCGGCCUGAGAGGGUGAACGGACACACUGGAACUGAGACACGGUCCAGACUCCUACGGGAGGCAGCA
RNAcentral lists this ribosomal RNA (1217 nucleotides) under Helicobacter saguini. Its description in RNAcentral is "partial 16S ribosomal RNA". It matches the Rfam family "Bacterial small subunit ribosomal RNA", at positions 1 to 353 of the family's 1533-position model. Lineage: Bacteria; Pseudomonadati; Campylobacterota; Epsilonproteobacteria; Campylobacterales; Helicobacteraceae. The record is from RNAcentral.